GGCGGCGUGCCUAAUACAUGCAAGUAGAACGCUGAAGCUUGGUGCUUGCACCGAGCGGAUGAGUUGCGAACGGUGAGUAACGCGUAGGUAACCUGCCUGGUAGCGGGGGAUAACUAUUGGAAACGAUAGCUAAUACCGCAUAAAAUGGAUUAUCGCAUGAUAAUUCAUUGAAAGGUGCAAAUGCAUCACUACCAGAUGGACCUGCGUGUAUUAGCUAGUUGGUGGGGUAACGGCUCACCAAGGCGACGAUACAUAGCCGACCUGAGAGGGUGAUCGGCCACACUGGGACUGAGACACGGCCCAGACUCCUACGGGAGGCAGCAGUAGGGAAUCUUCGGCAAUGGACGGAAGUCUGACCGAGCAACGCCGCUGAGUGAAGAAGGUUUUCGGAUCGUAAAGCUCUGUUGUAAGAGAAGAACGAGUGUGAGAGUGGAAAGUUCACACUGUGACUG
Molecule: ribosomal RNA, 452 nt
Filed under: Streptococcus sp. oral taxon 070
Lineage: Bacteria; Bacillati; Bacillota; Bacilli; Lactobacillales; Streptococcaceae
Description: bacterial SSU rRNA
Rfam family: Bacterial small subunit ribosomal RNA
Source: RNAcentral